UACGGGGGGGGUAAGCGUUGUUCCGAAUUACUGGGCGUAAAGGGCUCGUAGGCGGCCAACUAAGUCAUACGUGAAAUCCCUCAGCUUAACUGGGGAACUGCGUGUGAUACUGGAUGGCUUGGAUUUGGGAGAGGGAUGCGGAAUUCCAGGUGUAGCGGUGAAAUGCGUAGAUAUCUGGAGGAACACCGGUGGCGAAGGCGGCAUCCUGGACCAAUAUUGACGCUGAGGAGCGAAAGCCAGGGGAGCAAACGGG
This 253-nucleotide ribosomal RNA is filed under the name uncultured bacterium. RNAcentral's name for it is "partial 16S ribosomal RNA". It matches the Rfam family "Bacterial small subunit ribosomal RNA", at positions 524 to 776 of the family's 1533-position model. The record is from RNAcentral.